UUGUGUUUUGUUGGCAAUUUGUGAUUCAACGUGGUAAUUAAAAAGUUUCAAUAUUGAGUAAAUGGUCCGCUACAGAUCACUCCGGGGAAGAGGUUAUUGGGUUACGUAAAAAGACUCAUGUGCUGUGGGAAUAGCUAUUGAAGAACACAAGGUAUCGAUUGUGUCUCACUCGACGUACCAUAAGAAAGUUAAAUGGUAAAGUGUGAUAUAUGAAGUGAAAAUACAACGUUACUAUAAUUAGCGGAUCCAAGAUGUCCAAAUGAUGAUGAUGAUUGAUAUAGGAAAUGCGAUUAUGUAGAAGAUAAAGUGAAUUUCCAAAAUAUCAAAAUUAAAAUCGAAAAUAAUC
This is a non-coding RNA of Schizosaccharomyces pombe (fission yeast), 346 nucleotides long. Lineage: Eukaryota; Fungi; Ascomycota; Schizosaccharomycetes; Schizosaccharomycetales; Schizosaccharomycetaceae. The record is from the annotation of a GenBank genome assembly.